UUACGGCCACAUCAUGUUGAAACACCGGUUCCAGUACGAUCAUCGAAGUUAAGCAACGUCGAGUCUGGUUAGUACCUAGAUGGGUGACCUCUUGGGAAUAUCAGAUGUUGUAAG
This is a non-coding RNA of Acanthosepion pharaonis, 114 nucleotides long. NCBI's taxonomy places the organism in Eukaryota, Metazoa, Mollusca, Cephalopoda, Sepiida, Sepiidae. The record is from the annotation of a GenBank genome assembly.